Molecule: long non-coding RNA, 3198 nt
Organism: Apis cerana (Asiatic honeybee)
Lineage: Eukaryota; Metazoa; Arthropoda; Insecta; Hymenoptera; Apidae
Source: RefSeq, a predicted model, not a curated record
AUUUUUGUAUUUAUUUUGAUUUAUAUAUAAUAUCGAUUCUUUAAAAAUGUUCCAAUGAAUAUAUUAUAUCCAUGCAGAAAAAAAUUUUUUAUUUUUAUUUUUAUUUUUAUUAUUUUAAUUAAAUUUUUAUUAUUUUAAUUACAUGAAUAUAAUGUCAAAUUCAAAUUUUAUGUAAAAUAUUGAAUUAUGAAGAUUAAUAAUAUCUAUUUUCUUUUAUUAUAUAAUUUUUAUAUAAUUUUUUACUUUAUUUUUAUUUAUUAUGUUAUAUUAUUUUUAUGUUUUAUUUAUUAUGUUAUAGUAAUAUUCAUUUUUAAAUCAAGUUAUUAAAUAUCUAAAAUCAUAUUUAAAAUUACUUAAUCAUAUUUAAAAUUUGUAUAGCAAUACAAUAAUAAUUUCACAGUUUUUUUUUAAUAUAGUUUUAAUUAUUCAUAAUUAUAGAUUAAAUAACAAUAGUUUAAUUGUCCGAAACAAAAUUAUCUCAACGUGUGAUGCAACAUCUGAAGCUUGGUUUAAUCAACUUGAGGAAGUUUGCUAGUGGACGGUAGUUGUCAGGAUUUCCCAGGACAACGCUUAAAUUUUUGUCCCCGCAAUACAUAAACCGUACGCGCGGGAUGAACCCGUCUGCUGCUUGUGUCAGCUGCUGUUAGGACCGUAAUGAGAGGUGCCAUAAUGUUAACGGCCGAACGCAUACAUUCAAGCAAUUACGUCGCUCCAACUAAUUUCUGUCCCUGGGCAAACUUGAGGAAUUCCAUGUGCCACGAGUAGAGACGCGCGGGCGUGUAAGGGAUUGCGAACGGGGCGGAGGUUGCCGAGGAAGAGGCGGAAGUUACUGCUGACCAUUUCGUCGGAUCUAGCCGCGUUUUCACCGUUCACUUAUACACACGGUCGCCUACCCCCUGUACACAUUGUGCGAGAAGCGUACAAAUACAAAAGCGAUUCGCCCUUUAGCGAGACGGAGUUACGAAUGCAGCCGAGAGGGUUGUUUGUCAAGAGAAUUUUCAGCGGUGAGCACGCUGGCCAACGAGUAUUACGGGUUGAAUUAAUUCCUAACAAAAAUAUGUGAAAUAUUUUCACGGAGGAGACGAGCGAGCCGCACACAUCGUUCCUCCAUAUUAUUGCAAAAAGGCCACAUGUAUACGUAUACCGUUUGUUGGGCAUUGCCCUACACGCUUUCUGUUUUCCUUUCAGAUUGCGCGUCAAGUUUUUCGCGACAAAUUGCCUUCGGGCGAGAGACCUAUUUCUUCCUCGUACUACGUUCCUGCAUUUUUACAUCUCAAGACCGAUCGUUCUUUUCCAAGCUUACGUUCGCCUUUUUUUUUCGUUGAUUUGUGUCUGGCACAAUAUUCUGGUAAAUAUUUAUGAUAGAAUUUUUACGUUAAAGUGAAAUUUAUAUUGAAAUUUAAAAAAUUCAGGACUGCGUAUCAAAAGGUAUAUGGACCGUUUCGAUCCAUUUUUCGCAAUUACAACAACGCAUAUACCUGUACGUUAUAUAUAAUAAUAUAGGAAUCGUUUAAUUUUGAUAUUUUGUCCCAUUCAUCCAUGCGAUGCCGGAUAAUCUCGAUGCAAAUCAUAACUGGUUAGUUGCCUAUUAAUCUACGAUUUGAUAUAAUCCGUACGAAUCUAUCCGAAUUCGUAAUAUUUUAUUUCUUUUUUUAAAUACUCUUUAUUAAUAUUAAUCCUUGUUCGAGCAUUUAAAACAGAAUUCUUCUUCAUCGGGAUCUAUAAAUCUAUGUAUCCUUUCACGACUUUCAGUACGUAAAUGUAGAAAGAAACCGUCAUUCUUGGCGAUGCUCGGCCGAUGCCAUUUGCACGCACGCUUGUACACCGUCUCGAGAAAGAUUUUUCCAACGAAAUUCCUUCUCUGUGCCCAGAAUAGUCAUUCAAGUUGCCGGCGACGCGUCGCUACUAUUCACGAGCCAUUCCCCCUUCCCUCCCCCACCCUCCUUUUUUCCUUUCAUCGAUUUUUCAUUCCUUCCCGAGUGAAUCAACGACGAUUCACCUUUCGAUCUCGAAACUCGAAAAAAACUUAGAUCACGACGCGAGAUUUGCAAUGUGAAUCGACGCGAGACGACUCUCCUCCCUUCCUUCCAAUCUUUCUCCCUCCUUGCCUCCUCUAAUCUCCCUUAAGCGUCGAUCGUAAUUGACCGUCGUCAAUUUUGAACCCGAAUACGCGUCUAAGCAGGAAUUAUAUGCAUCGAACAACCGCGGAGCAUCAAGGAUGGAGUGGAAUAGAGGGGGUGGAAAGGGUGGCGCAGAGUGGAGGGUUGCGAGCGAGGCAGCCGCGAAAGGGAGCAUUUGGCGUAAUCGAAGUAUCGCGUGCUUGUGGAACGAUAAUUCCAUUACGCGAGAGAACAAACGUACCUACAUACGUACGGCGAAGGCAGGACAUUUUUAUCGGGUACGAUCUGAUAUUUCGUCGAUCAGCGUCGAGCGUUGUUGUAAAAGCGCGUGCGUGAGAUACGCGAGUAAUUCUCCUCGCGUGGGAAAGUAACGUUUCGGGUUGGCAUAAAUAUAACGGUCGAGACUUAGACGGAACGAACACGCUUACGGUAACUUCUGUAUAUAUAUAUAUAUAUAUGUAUACGUUCGCCAAUCAUCCUGCACCGAGUGUUUGUUAAAAACUAUUAAUUCGCUUGUCGGGAGAUACUUUUCGAUAUAAUUCCGAUAUACAACCUCCCUUUCAUGUUUCUCCUCGUUCUCGCAUUUUUCCUUCUCUUUCUUUCCUCUAUUCUUCCUUUUUUUUUUAUAUAUCUCAAGUACACGUUGAAUUUGCGGAUCGUUAUUAUGAUUCACCAGGUUUUGACGCGAAAACGAGCUGCCCUGAACUUUCUUAAUCUGAAGUAAACCAAAGCGCGGAUAAUACGCCUUCUCCCCACCCAUUCGGAGACUUUAAUAAUCUAACUUUUCGCGCUACUUUGCGUCCCAGUUUUAACCUAAAAAUUGCUUUUCUCCCCUUCGCUCAUGGAGAAUUGGGGAGGGAGGGGGAGGGGAGGUUGAAAUUGUAAAACGAGUAUUUAUACGUCUUCGCGUAUAUCAUGCUUUCAACGUUGUCGCGAGAGAAGCGAGAAAGAAUUGCUUCUUUUUUCUUCGAAUUACUGAAUGAAACUUUUUUUCAUUGCCCUCUAUCCAUCGGGAUAAAAUGGGACUAUUUCGUUUUGACGAACAUUCCAUCGUCGAAGGAAAAAAAAAAAAGAAAAA